This 446-nucleotide ribosomal RNA is filed under the name uncultured bacterium. Its description in RNAcentral is "partial 16S ribosomal RNA". It matches the Rfam family "Bacterial small subunit ribosomal RNA", at positions 338 to 795 of the family's 1533-position model. The record is from RNAcentral.
CCUACGGGGAGCAGCAGUCGAGAAUCAUUCACAAUGGGGGAAACCCUGAUGGUGCGACGCCGCGUGGGGGAAUGAAGGUCUUCGGAUUGUAAACCCCUGUCAUGUGGGAGCAAAUUAAAAAGAUAGUACCACAAGAGGAAGAGACGGCUAACUCUGUGCCAGCAGCCGCGGGAAUACAGAGGUCUCAAGCGUUGUUCGGAAUCACUGGGCGUAAAGCGUGCGUAGGCUGUUUCGUAAGUCGUGUGUGAAAGGCGCGGGCUCAACCCGCGGACGGCACAUGAUACUGCGAGACUAGAGUAAUGGAGGGGGAACCGGAAUUCUCGGUGUAGCAGUGAAAUGCGUAGAUAUCGAGAGGAACACUCGUGGCGAAGGCGGGUUCCUGGACAUUAACUGACGCUGAGGCACGAAGGCCAGGGGAGCGAAAGGGAUUAGAUACCCGUGUAGUC